This is a long non-coding RNA of Puntigrus tetrazona (Sumatra barb), 5767 nucleotides long. RefSeq lists it as uncharacterized. NCBI's taxonomy places the organism in Eukaryota, Metazoa, Chordata, Actinopteri, Cypriniformes, Cyprinidae. The record is from RefSeq and is a predicted model, not a curated record. The transcript is spliced from 5 exons.
UUUACAUAGUGUAUCUUUGACAUGAUUUUAAUUUAUUACACUCUGGCAAUGGUAAUACGAACAGACAGAAAAAAAAGAAUGUGAGGAUUAGGUGUCUCUCUCUUAGAUCUGCUAUCUGUCAUCGCCAGGUUAACUUCUUUAUGAAUCAGUCUCCUCAGGCUGUUUUUAGAGCAGAGAGGGGAGCAUGUAUAUUUAAGCUUGUGCCGCUUUUUAAAGGAAACUUUUGCCGUGUUAACAAGAUCAUUUUCAUUACUUUGCAUUUUUGGAAUAUCUAGCCAACAGAAAGAUUUUUUUUUCAAAUAGCAGGUGUCACACUGCCGCAGCCGUCAGGAUCAUUCCCACAACAGAGAAAGCUAGCACUGAGCAGAGAAAGCUAGCACCGAGCAUGUCAGAUUAAUAAAUAUUUGACAAUAUGUUUUUUUUCCUUAGUCAUGCCAAUAACUAUUUGUCAUCAAUGAAGCAGAAGAAACCAGGUCACAGGCAGUAGUAAAGAUGAUUUAUGACAAAGUAACAGUCAGUCCUGUUUUAAUGGUUCCUUGGCCUCAUGCAAGACAAGAAAGCAUUGAUCUGGCUUUUACGACAAGUUAACCUCUCAGGAAUGAGUGUUAAUAGAUUUUGAAACAACUAUUAAUAGCAAAUAAAACAUUUAUGGCCACAGUAUUUUAUGCACGGAGCAAAAAUCAAUAGAUGUUUAAUGAAAUUUAGCUUGUGCAACUAUUAACAGCAGUUUCAGAGAUGGAUUAUUGUGGUUAGGAUUUGAGCGCUUACUGACUCAAAUGUGGAGAAAGGUUGCAGUGGCGUUUCGAAACGACCCUGGUAAAAGAGAGAAGCAAGAGAAUAGUCGCUAGCAGAUUGCUGCAUCUGGUGUUGGCCUCUCUUGUCACUGAAAUGCCAGUCCUCACGGUUGCUAUGCCGCUGUAUCAAAGCGGAGGAUGGCGCAUGGGAAGGAUUGUGGGAAUGUAAAGCUGCACAGCAAACAGAGGGUCACCCAGCCAGAUUCAAACAAACUCGUCUAGCACUCCUAUUCAUUCAAAAGUUCAAUCAGUCACCAUGGAUACCUUCUCUCCUAAUGAGUUACAAAUGUUUCAGUUGAUGUUGAUUGAAUUGUUUUACCAGCCAAGGAUGUUUAUUGGAGUCACUGGGAUUUGAACUGGCUGUGAUGGAUAAGCUUUUUCUAUUGUUCUUGGGUUUUUAGCAUGUGUAAUAUUAGAGAAGUUACAGACUAAUUUGUUUAAAUCCUUUCUUUCUUUAUACAGAAAAGGCCUUGUUUAAAGUCUAAUUACACUAAAACAAAUUAGUGCAGAAACCAAAUUUUAGCUUAUUUCACACAAAAACCUAACUCAAAUUCACGGUAUAUGCAUUUUGUCAUUCUGUUCUUAGUGACGAAUUAUCAGUUGAUGUGUUGUUCAUUUUCCAAGUAUGCAAAUACAAUACAAAAAUAAUUGGAAAAUAAAAAUACUCUUUCAGUCUUUUGAUUAGAAUUUUUUUUUAAUUAUUUGUGAUAUUAACAGCAAUAUCUGAGUCGAAGUAGCUUCAGAUAAAUCCUACACCAAAUUGGUGUUGUAAAUAUGUUUGUGUCUUGCCAUGUGACCCCAUUUAAGGUCUUCACUUUGUGUUGACAUGUACGUUUCGGUUACAUCUUGGAAACAUUUUCUGUGGGGGAAAGAAAAAAACCUUAAACCUUUCUGUUAUUGAACGUUUAGUCAGAUUUAGCCCUGUCAAAAACUGUUAAAAAUGACUCUGCUCAUUUAACCCAGAAUUCCUUCCUUGGUGGCUUGUCUGUCACCAAUUAUAUCUCUCUGUUUAUUCUUUGACAAGUUAAUUCACAUGCAUGUGGACCGACAGUGAAGGCUUGUGGAUCUUUCCCAUCACACUUAAAACACAGCCGACCACCCUCUCCUCUCUCAAGUAGGCUUUUCACAGAGGCUUUAGGAAACUGUUUAAGGUAUUUGCCCUUUUUUCAUCUAUUCAACUGCAGCAGGCAAAUCCUGGGAGGCAGAACCUGUUGAUAUCCCAUAAGGGGCUUAUAUGACUCAUCGUAGCCUAGAUGCAACAUGCUUGUUAUUUGAACAGCUGCAUCUCCACUCCACACUUUUAUCAGGCCCAUUGUGAUCCUGCCAUCCUGCGCUUUUCCUACUUGUUCGGAAAGCUCUUGACAAACCUACCAAAAAUUGGUCAUAGAACAGACGGCUAGACAGUUUUUUGGGUGGAGGCUCGGUACUAAGGUGAUUGUGAUUCUCAUUGCGCUUCAGUGUUUCGAGAUGAAGAUCUGGUGUUGUUGGACUUCGUUCAGAAGUAUUAGAAAUCGCUUGCACUAAGCUGUUAUUUAACGGCAGCUUGAUGGAUGAGGCGCACACACGUACCUCCUCACACCUCAUCUGGCCGAAUGCAUUCCUCAUGCAAUUAGUCCUUCUGAAGUUGCUUAUUAGUUGGAUCUCUUCUUUGUGGAUAAGUCCUUUCACUGAACUGUCACAGCUCCUGGACAAGCCUCUCCAAUCCACAGCCAUUUACAAAUGAAUGGGGCACCAUGCAAACCAAACAGAGCACAUCCUUUUCCUGCUCUUUCACAUCUUUGGUGAAAAGGAGGGGGGAAAACUCAAUUUGUAUUUGCGCAGACCAUAAACAAACAUCGGUCAGAUCAAAUGAGGCAUUCAGAGCCUGAAGAAAGGUCAGAGAGAAAGGGGAGGGAGAGAUAGAAGAGGGAUUGAAGGAGGUGCAGAAUGGAACUCUCCCAGUGCCAAUUCACAAGCUCUGGGCUUUUAUGAGGGUGUCAGUUCUGUUGUCAGACUGACGAUGUAGAGAAACAAGUCAAUGUGAGGGCGGAGGACAGCACACCUUCCUCAGGUACCUGCAAUGUGACCGUAAACUAACCAGCACCUUUAGAGACUGCCGGGGCCACAGCCAAAGCACCUUUCCCGCAUGAAACCUAGAGCGCCAGUGGUUCUGCAAAGUUUUUUAUGACGAACAGAGAGUUCCUUCAAAGAGAACUCAAGUUCUUCAAAAGAGCAUUCAAUUGCAUGCACUGUUCAAGAGAUGACUAUGGCUACAUAAAAUUAAUGAAAUUCUAAGUUGGAAAAAAUCAUUAGCAUGGCAUGAGUUAUAAUUAUGAGAAGUCUUUUGUAUGAUAUGAGAAAUAAUAACCAUGAUAUGGUUUUGCAUUGUCUUGCUGAAAUACACAAGGCCUUCCCUGAAAUAGACUUCGUCUGGAGGGGAACAUAUGUUGCUUUAAAACUUUACCUACCUUUUAGAAUUCAUAGUGCCUUCCAUAACAUGCAAGCUGCCCAUACCCUAUGCGCUUAUGCACCCCCAUACCAGCGUGAUAACACACUGGAAGGAAUUAAGAUAAUUUCCAACAAGGAUAUAAAAUUUGGACUUGUCUGACCAUAGAACACUUUGAAACGGUUCAUUUUAAAUGUGCAGAUCUGCAAAUGGCACCGCAGACUGUGUUUGCCGACUGUGGUUUCUGAAAGUAUUCCUGGGCCCAUUUAUUAACGUCAAUGACAGAAUCAUGUUGAAGAGUGAUGCAGUCUGAGGGCCUUGAAGAUCACAGGCUUCCAACACCUACGGCCUUGUCCCUUACGCACAUUUCUGCAGUGUCUCUGAAUAUUUUGAUGAUGUUGCCCUUUGCAAUUUGAUGUUGAGAAAUGUUUUUUUUUUUUUUUUUUUUUUUUUAAUUAUUACACAGUAUUUUUACACAUCUUUCACUGAUUGGAGAGCCUCUGCCUCUCUAAGACAUCCCUUUUAUAGCUAAUCAUGUUACAGACCUGAUGUCUGUUAACCUAAUUAGUCGCUAGAUGUUCUCCUAGCUGAAUCUCUUAAAAAAUCUUUUCCUUUUAGCCCUCUGCUGCCCCCGUGCCAACUUUUUUGAGACUUGUAGCAGGCAGCAAAUUUGAAAUAAGCUCUUUAAGUAGACAAAAGUGUAAAAUUUCACUUUAUCUAACCAUCUGUCUGUCAGACAGAUGGACGUCUGGAGGCCUGGUUGGUCCAUUAAUUUGAAUAUAUUCAUGUUCGCGAUAUAAAAAAAAUCUGCUUUUAACCAUUCUUAAACAGUUAAUCUUUCUAAUCUUAGAUAUAUUCAUCUAUUUUAAUUAAAAUUGGUUUCAAUUUAAAUAUAGGAACAUUUCUGGCUUCAUAGCUGACUAAAAACUACUUUUCCCAAAACUCUCAGCAGUGGAUGACAUCACUCUGCGUGUUUGUCUAAGUGCUUCAGUUGAAGCAGUCAGUCCAGCAGCCGAUGGCUGUCACAGUCGCCUGCCAAACACACUCCAUAUUCACAAUGCAGUUUAAUUAAUGACAUCACUAAAAGGUUUGGUGCAAUGAAGUUUGCAUCUAGUUCAAUUUCCUAAGUGCCUCUGUAUCCCUUUCUAAGCAACAGCAACAGAGUGAGCCAUCAAUAAUGCACCCCCAAAAGAGGAGGCCAGCUACAGCGAGCGGCACCAAACUCAGUAGAUGGGAUUGUCAAAAUGAGAAGAUCCGUACAGGAUCCAGGUGACGGAUGAAGAGCGAACAGUAAUUCACCUCAUUAGUCCUUCAAAGAGCAGAGCAGAGUUUAAUCAGGACUCUCAGAGAUAAUGUGCUGGAAAAGGAGACCAGCCGCUCUUGGGUGUGCAGUGAUUUAUAAAAGUGAUUUUCUGCCAGACUGAUGCCUGAGGUCUGAGGUCUUGUGAAGCCCUCAAGUGGUGAGGCCUCUCCAUCCCUCUGAUGAAGCACUUAGCCCACUUCUAUUUAUAGCAGCAAGAGCGGCACGAUCGAUUAUUCAACCUGACUCUGAUUCUGCCUUCUCAUGAACUGUUAUUCAAUAACCACGGAUAAAAUUAGACAUUGCCAUCCUGAGGGGACAAAUGGCACUGAGCGAAAGAGAGAGAUUGUAGAAUGUAUGGCUGUGAAUAGCAGGUCGAGAUUUCCUUGUCUCGAUAGGCUGCAGUCGAAAAAACUUCUGCAUCCUGCACAGCUGGACAGCAGUACCUGGAUGUGUAGCUAACAUGAAGCAGCACUUCCUCUGUUUCGCUUUUCAUUGCGGAAACGGCUACGAGAAAUAAACAAGGCACAGACAGACAUAAAAGAGACUGGAGUUAAUGGUUACCUCUGCUGCACUCUUGUCUAAUCAUGCCCCUUUAUCAGUAUAAAAAUACAAAUUCCCAUUGCCAAAAUGACGGUUGCCUUUUCCUUUAAGCUGGCAGUAAAUUUUAUUGAAACAACUGAGAUGAUUAACCUCUGAUAGUAUCCUAAUGGAAACUCUCUGGCACCUCGCACACGGAUUAAUGCCAAGAGGAACCUCCAAUUCAUAAUUUUUAUUUGAAAUGGGACACCCAUCUGCAUACGGACUGAUGGGUUUGGACAGGGCACUUGCUGUUGAACCGCUAACAGGCUUAGCUUAAUGAGAUGCAGAUGAAUGUCAGUGACAAGGCUUAAGACCAGCACCUGUUGUCUGAGGUGCCCUUCAUGUCACAUACCACAAAUGUCGUUUUUUUGUAUCUGGCACUAAUAAUCUAAACUCCAUUGAUGUUAUGUUAAUAACAAGCAAGUCUGCCUAUUUAUGUAUUUUUAUUUUCUGAUAGUUUAAAUAAUUGAAUCAUGUUUAUUUGUUAUCCUCAUUACUGGAGUUAUCACUUACACUCAUUUCUAGCCUAUAACUCUUCAGCGUUUGAAGUGCAGUGGGCUGGCAGUAAAUGAACUCGGUGCACCUGCGAGGCGCAAUACAACAACAAGCCAGCAGAGGGAGCCAAUGAUAGAAAAAAAACAUAAUAAUAAUAAUAAAGCGAUUUAA